UACAGAGGUCUCAAGCGUUGUUCGGAUUCAUUGGGCGUAAAGGGUGCGUAGGCGGCGCGGUAAGUCGGGUGUGAAAUCUCGGAGCUUAACUCCGAAAACUGCAUUCGAUACUGCCGUGCUUGAGGACUGGAGAGGAGACUGGAAUUUACGGUGUAGCGGUGAAAUGCGUAGAUAUCGUAAGGAAGACCAGUGGCGAAGGCGGGGUCUCUGGACAGUUCCUGACGCUGAGGCACGAAGGCCAGGGGGAGCAAACGGGG
This 257-nucleotide ribosomal RNA is filed under the name uncultured bacterium. RNAcentral describes it as "partial 16S ribosomal RNA". It matches the Rfam family "Bacterial small subunit ribosomal RNA", at positions 524 to 777 of the family's 1533-position model. The record is from RNAcentral.